CAGUCGCCGCGGUAAUACGGAGGGUGCAAGCGUUAAUCGGAAUUACUGGGCGUAAAGCGUGCGUAGGCGGUUCGUUAAGUCUGUUGUGAAAGCCCCGGGCUCAACCUGGGAAUGGCAAUGGUUACUGGCGAGCUAGAGUGUGUCAGAGGAUGGUGGAAUUCCCGGUGUAGCGGUGAAAUGCGUAGAGAUCGGGAGGAACAUCAGUGGCGAAGGCGGCCAUCUGGGACAACACUGACGCUGAGGCACGAAAGCGUGGGGAGCAAACAGGAUUAGAUACCCCAGUAGUCCCUGUCUCUUAUAC
This 301-nucleotide ribosomal RNA is filed under the name uncultured bacterium. RNAcentral describes it as "partial 16S ribosomal RNA". It matches the Rfam family "Bacterial small subunit ribosomal RNA", at positions 509 to 807 of the family's 1533-position model. The record is from RNAcentral.